CAUAGGCAAUAUUCUGCAGGACUUCUGUCUCCUUUCCCAACUUCCCUUAGUAAGAGAGAGGGGCAAAAUGACAUAUGGUCCUCCCGUUGGGCUGUCUGGUGCUUAUCUGCAGCUUAAGCACCCUGUCCUUCAGUAUCCGCUGUCCAUCACUGCUUCCAUACUGACCAGGUGCCCCAAGCCAGGCUCUAUUUCGGGGAUGUUCUUAGAAGAGGAAAACCAAACUCCAGGUGGACACCACAGCGUUGGCUGAUCUGCCAUAUCAACUUGGUUGGAUUAAUAAAUGGC
Molecule: long non-coding RNA, 285 nt
Organism: Mus caroli (Ryukyu mouse)
Lineage: Eukaryota; Metazoa; Chordata; Mammalia; Rodentia; Muridae
Source: RefSeq, a predicted model, not a curated record